UUGUUACUUGUUAAUUACGUAAAGUGC
Molecule: small RNA, 27 nt
Filed under: Bombyx mori (domestic silkworm)
Lineage: Eukaryota; Metazoa; Arthropoda; Insecta; Lepidoptera; Bombycidae
Description: ovarian small RNA-38172
Source: RNAcentral